GACGAACACUGGCGGCGUGCUUAACACAUGCAAGUCGAACGGAAAGGCCCUGCUUUUGUGGGGUGCUCGAGUGGCGAACGGGUGAGUAGCACGUGAGUAACCUGCCCUUGACUUUGGGAUAACUUCAGGAAACUGGGGCUAAUACCGGAUAGGAGCUCCUGCUGCAUGGUGGGGGUUGGAAAGUUUCGGCGGUUGGGGAUGGACUCGCGGCUUAUCAGCUUGUUGGUGGGGUAGUGGCUUACCAAGGCUUUGACGGGUAGCCGGCCUGAGAGGGUGACCGGCCACAUUGGGACUGAGAUACGGCCCAGACUCCUACGGGAGGCAGCAGUGGGGAAUAUUGCACAAUGGGCGGAAGCCUGAUGCAGCAACGCCGCGUGCGGGAUGACGGCCUUCGGGUUGUAAACCGCUUUCGCCUGUGACGAAGCGUGAGUGACGGUAAUGGGUAAAGAAGCACCGGCUAACUACGUG
This 468-nucleotide ribosomal RNA is filed under the name uncultured bacterium. RNAcentral's name for it is "partial 16S ribosomal RNA". It matches the Rfam family "Bacterial small subunit ribosomal RNA", at positions 28 to 507 of the family's 1533-position model. The record is from RNAcentral.